This 506-nucleotide ribosomal RNA is filed under the name uncultured bacterium. RNAcentral describes it as "partial 16S ribosomal RNA". It matches the Rfam family "Bacterial small subunit ribosomal RNA", at positions 29 to 523 of the family's 1533-position model. The record is from RNAcentral.
AGUGAACGCUGGCGGUAGGCCUAACACAUGCAAGUCGAACGGCAGCACAGGAGAGCUUGCUCUCUGGGUGGCGAGUGGCGGACGGGUGAGGAAUACAUCGGAAUCUACUCUGUCGUGGGGGAUAACGUAGGGAAACUUACGCUAAUACCGCAUACGACCUACGGGUGAAAGCAGGGGACCUUCGGGCCUUGCGCGAUUGAGUGAGCCGAUGUCGGAUUAGCUAGUUGGCGGGGUAAAGGCCCACCAAGGCGACGAUCCGUAGCUGGUCUGAGAGGAUGAUCAGCCACACUGGAACUGAGACACGGUCCAGACUCCUACGGGAGGCAGCAGCGGGGAAUAUUGGACAAUGGGCGCAAGCCUGAUCCAGCCAUACCGCGUGGGUGAAGAAGGCCUUCGGGUUGUAAAGCCCUUUCGUUGGGAAAGAAAUCCAGCUGGCUAAUACCCGGUUGGGAUGACGGUACCCAAAGAAUAAGCACCGGCUAACUUCGUGCCAGCCGCCGCGGUAA